UACGAGGGGGGCAAGCGUUGUUCAGAAUUAUUGGGCGUAAAGGGAGCGUAGGCGGUUUUGUAAGUCGUGUGUGAAAUCUUCGGGCUCAACCCGAAGUCUGCACACGAAACUGCAGGGCUUGAGUAUGGGAGAGGUGAGUGGAAUUCCUGGUGUAGCGGUGAAAUGCGUAGAUAUCAGGAGGAACACCUGUGGCGAAAGCGGCUCACUGGACCAUUACUGACGCUGAGGCUCGAAAGCUAGGGGAGCAAACAGG
RNAcentral lists this ribosomal RNA (253 nucleotides) under uncultured bacterium. Its description in RNAcentral is "partial 16S ribosomal RNA". It matches the Rfam family "Bacterial small subunit ribosomal RNA", at positions 524 to 776 of the family's 1533-position model. The record is from RNAcentral.